This 234-nucleotide long non-coding RNA is filed under the name Capsicum annuum. Its description in RNAcentral is "long non-coding RNA (CANN_LNC020471)". Lineage: Eukaryota; Viridiplantae; Streptophyta; Magnoliopsida; Solanales; Solanaceae. The record is from RNAcentral.
CUAGGAUAAUAUCUUUGUAUCUGUCCAUUAGGUGGAGUCCACUUGAGUGUACUUACACAAAUUAUAAAUAUUGGGUGAAUAUAAAUCAAUAUGCGCUGAGGGUAUUUUCGUUAUCAUAAAAAAAAUCAAUAAUAGAAAAUAAAAAGAAAGAGAUGUAAAGUUAGAGAUGGAAGAGAGAAAAAAGGCGUAAAGAAAGAAUUGAAAAAAAAAAUACAAAAAAAAUAAUAAAAAAGG